UUUUAUCUUUAAAAAUAGAUGUUCCGAUCCAUUAUAUUGCCACCGUUGAUUCGAAAGGAGACACCAAAAUAUCAUAAGAAAUUCACAAUAAAUUACAC
Molecule: long non-coding RNA, 98 nt
Organism: Ipomoea nil (Japanese morning glory)
Lineage: Eukaryota; Viridiplantae; Streptophyta; Magnoliopsida; Solanales; Convolvulaceae
Exons: 3
Source: RefSeq, a predicted model, not a curated record